AACGUAGGAGGCGAUUGUUAUCUGGAUUUACUGGGCGUAAAGCGCGUUUAGGCAGUGCUCUAAGUUGGACGUGAAAUCUCCCGGCCUAACCGGGAGGGGCCGUUAAAUACUGGAGCACUUGGGGGCAGAAGAGGGAAGUGGAAUUCCCGGUGUAGCGGUGGAAUGCGUAGAUAUCGGGAGGAACACCAGUGGCGAAGGCGGCUUCCUGGUCUGCCCUUGAAUUUGAGACGCGAAAGCUAGGGGAGCGAACGGG
Molecule: ribosomal RNA, 253 nt
Filed under: uncultured bacterium
Lineage: Bacteria
Description: partial 16S ribosomal RNA
Rfam family: Bacterial small subunit ribosomal RNA
Source: RNAcentral